CCAAACCCCACCCCGUACACAGUUGUAUAUCUUAGUUGCAGGUCCUUCUAGUUGUGGGAUGUGGGACACCGCCUCAACGUGGCCUGACGAGUGGUGCCAUGUCCGCACCCAGGAUCCGAACCCUGGGCCGCAGCAGCAGCGGAGCACGCGAACUUAACCACUCGGCCACGGAGCCGGCCCCUGAGGAGACUAAGGCUGUUGAAACUUCUUGGCCUAAGGCCACUGAGGGACUCCUGAGUCCCCAAGCACGGUGUAACACCGGGCAACCUGAGAAGCUGGCUGCCUUCUCCGGGCUUGUUCCAGCAGAGCUUCUGCUGUGGGAUUACAGGCAGUGGUGUGCUGAUAAAUGUUCAACAAUAAGUUCUCCAGGGGCAAAAGCCUUGGAUUUGUGGUGUUUACCUAUCCCUGGGGUGUAAACAUUCUCAUGAUGGCCAAUUUCAAGCCACCAACACGCUGUCACUGAAAAACAGUGGAGAAGAGAUGUGCACAGUCAUUCUCACCAGGCAAGCCCAGCACAUCCCUGCUGCUCCCAGCCUCGGACCUGUGGAAAAACUUCAACCUUCACCCAGUAAGAAUUCGCAGGCGCAGGGAUGGGACAAUGUAGCUUUCAGAGGAUCACUACAAAGAGACAAUUUCCUAAUUUCAGGGACCAACUACGACUGCUAGGAACAAGUGUUUAAAACAUUCAAGGAUCUUUACAACUCCUUCCAUCAAUAAAGUUCUAGGCACAAAACAAACAUUGACAUCUUUCUCCUCUGAGCUAUCAUCAAACUUUAUUAUUACAUCUCUUCUUUUUUUUUAAGAUUUAUCUAACAUUGUGCCAAACACUGUUCCAAGUGCAAUGCAUACCACGACUCAAUUUAUCCUCACCACAAGCCCAUGAGGCAAGUACUUUAAUGGUCUGGUUCCACGAUGAGCCAACUGAAGCAGAGAGGUUAAGUAACAUGCCCAAAGUCACCGAGUCCUGAAUUGCCUUUGCAAUUUCCCAUAAAGAGUGGCAGAAUAGAUGACCAUCCUCCCAGCCCAGGAAAUUCUUCAUAUACUUUAGAUAUAAAGUUGUGUAAAAUUAAAAAGCAUUAUUUAUACAUAUUUAAUUGUAAGUUGAACCUAACCGAUAGAGAAAUACACCAAUAAAAUUCUUCACAAUGAUCAGUCUCGGGGAUAACAGCACUUUGCCUCUCCAUCUUCAUCUCCGCUGAAAGAGUUCAAAUCUCUUUGCAAUUAUCAAUUAAUUACACAUCAAUAUUCCUCAGAGGCUAGGCAUUACAGUUAUGAUCUGUUUUAUGGUUAUUUUAUAGCCAUUAAUAGUAAUGAAAAUAAGAACAGUUUCAUGUACUAUACAAUGCGUCACGUAGAGAACAGAAUUAGACACAAUCAUUGUUCAAAGGUUUAAAAUAGAAACUAAAUUUCUAAGAAAUGAUUUAGUAUUUCAUUAUUAGUAACAAUACUUCAAAUUUAUAGAGCAUCUUAUGUUUAAAAGCUUUUCAUGUGUGGUCAAUAGAUCAAACGGAAUCCGCAGCCAGUCAGAUUUGAAUUCAGAUUCUGGUUUCAGCUCUAAUACUGCUCUGGGUGUAAUUUUUUACUGUUUCAUUUUAUUUGAAGUCAUUGAUUCAUAUAGUGGAAAUUCAAAAUUUACAGACUUACAGAAAAAAAAAAUCUCCCCAACUCAGCAGCCUACCUUCCGCUUAGCAACCCACCUCCUGUCCUUGGAGGUAGAACAAAGUUAACACCUUCUUGAUCUCCUUCUAGGGGUACUUUAUGCAUAUACGGUACAAGCAAAUGGCACAUACAAUCUUGUACCAUUUUAUACAAAUGAUAGCAUUCUAGACUUAACAGAAAGUUGGAGCUACAAUCCCCUCUGCUGUGAAAGGGCGGUGAGGAGAGACAUCAGAGGUUUAUGAAAACGCCCAAGCCCAGCACCUGGCAUGGAGUUAGCACUCAAUAAAGACAGUGUCCCUUUUCUUACCCAUAAAAAGGCUGUGCAGGAAGAGGUCCUUAGCGCGCCUAAAACUCAUCCAGGGCUUGUUGACCACAGACUGCCUCCCUGCACCCCACUCCAGUUUCCAUUUGGAAGGUCUGGGGUACGCCCUACAUCUGCAUUUCCAGCGAGC
RNAcentral lists this long non-coding RNA (2111 nucleotides) under Equus caballus (horse). RNAcentral describes it as "lncRNA (ENSECAG00000058578.1)". Lineage: Eukaryota; Metazoa; Chordata; Mammalia; Perissodactyla; Equidae. The record is from RNAcentral.